RNAcentral lists this ribosomal RNA (1274 nucleotides) under human gut metagenome. Its description in RNAcentral is "bacterial LSU rRNA". It matches the Rfam family "Bacterial large subunit ribosomal RNA", at positions 1158 to 2432 of the family's 2925-position model. The record is from RNAcentral.
ACUGCGCCGAAGAUGUACCGGGGCUAAAGCAUAAUACCGAAACUGCGGAUUACUUUGUAAUGGUAGGGGAGCGUUCUAAGUGCGCUGAAGGUUGAUCGUAAGGACAGCUGGAGCGCUUAGAAGUGAGAAUGCCGGUAUGAGUAGCGCAAGACGUGUGAGAAUCACGUCCACCGUUUGCCCAAGGUUUCCUGGGUCAAGUUCGUCUUCCCAGGGUUAGUCGGGUCCUAAGGCGAGGCCGAAAGGCGUAGUCGAUGGACAACAGGUUGAUAUUCCUGUACCACCUAUAUGACUGAUGGAGUGACGAAGGAGGCUAACAAGUGCCUGUUAUUGGAUUCAGGUCUAAGCACAAAGGCUUAUAUGUAGGGAAAUCCGCAUAUUGGUAGGCUGAAGUGUGAUGGCGAAGAGAGUAGCAAUACAAUUGAAGACUUGUGACGCCAAACUUCCAAGAAAAGCUUCUAGGGUUAAUCGUAUAGGUGCCCGUACCGAGAACCGCCACAGGUGGGCAAGGAGAGUAUCCUAAGGUGAGCGAGAGAACUAUGGUUAAGGAACUCGGCAAAAUAACCCCGUAACUUAGGGAGAAGGGGUGGUCUAGCGAUAGACCCGCAGUAAAGACGUCCAGGCAACUGUUUACCAAAAACACAGGUCUCUGCAAAGCCGUAAGGCGAAGUAUAGGGGCUGACACCUGCCCAGUGCUGGAAGGUUAAUAGGAGAGGUUAGUAUUUGACUUUGUCAACAUGAUACGAAGCUUUGAAUUGAAGCCCCAGUGAACGGCGGCCGUAACUAUAACGGUCCUAAGGUAGCGAAAUUCCUUGUCAGGUAAGUUCUGACCCGCACGAAAGGUGUAAUGAUCUGGAUACUGUCUCAACCAUAGGCUCGGUGAAAUUUUAAUACCUGUGAAAAUGCAGGUUACCCGCGACAGGACGGAAAGACCCCAUGGAGCUUUACUGUAGCUUGAUAUUGAAAUUUGAUAUUCUUUGUAGAGGAUAGGUGGUAGACUUUGAUACUAGGACGCCAGUUCUAGUGGAGUCGCCCUUGGAAUACCACCCUUGGAAUAUUAGAUUUCUAACCUAGGACCGUAAUCCGGUUCGGGGACAGUGUCUGGUGGGCAGUUUGACUGGGGCGGUCGCCUCCCAAAUAGUAACGGAGGCGCCCAAAGGUUACCUCAGAAUGGUUGGAAAUCAUUCGCAGAGUGUAAAGGUAUAUAGGUAGCUUAACUGCGAGACUUACAAGUCAAGCAGAUACGAAAGUAGGGCUUAGUGAUCAGGCGAUUCAGU